UAGGGAAUAUUGGUAAUCUGGGAAACCGGGAACCAGCAACGCCGCGUGCGCGAUGAAGGCCUUCGGGUUGUAAAGCGCUUUUUGAGAGGAUGAGGAAGGACAGUACUCUUAGAAUAAGCCUCGGCUAACUACGUGCCAGCAGCCGUGGUAAAACGUAGGAGGCGAGCGUUAUCCGGAUUUAAGGGGCGUAAAGCGUGUGUAGGCGGUUUGAUAAGUUGGAUGUGAAAGCUUCUGGCUUAACUGGGAGAGGUCGUUCAAAACUAUCAGACUUGAGAGUGGUAGAGGGAGGUGGAAUUCCGCAUGGAGUGGUGAAAUGCGUAGAUAUGCGGAGGAACACCAGUGGCGAAAGCGGCCUCCUGGCCCAUUUCUGACGCUCAGACACGAAAGCUAAGGUAGCAAACG
This 402-nucleotide ribosomal RNA is filed under the name uncultured prokaryote. Its description in RNAcentral is "bacterial SSU rRNA". It matches the Rfam family "Bacterial small subunit ribosomal RNA", at positions 355 to 774 of the family's 1533-position model. The record is from RNAcentral.